RNAcentral lists this ribosomal RNA (496 nucleotides) under uncultured bacterium. RNAcentral's name for it is "partial 16S ribosomal RNA". It matches the Rfam family "Bacterial small subunit ribosomal RNA", at positions 28 to 506 of the family's 1533-position model. The record is from RNAcentral.
GAUGAACGCUGGCGGCGUGCCUAAUACAUGCAAGUCGAGCGAACAGACGAGGAGCUUGCUCCUCUGACGUUAGCGGCGGACGGGUGAGUAACACGUGGAUAACCUACCUAUAAGACUGGGAUAACUUCGGGAAACCGGAGCUAAUACCGGAUAACAUGUUGAACCGCAUGGUUCAACAGUGAAAGACGGUCUUGCUGUCACUUAUAGAUGGAUCCGCGCCGCAUUAGCUAGUUGGUAAGGUAACGGCUUACCAAGGCAACGAUGCGUAGCCGACCUGAGAGGGUGAUCGGCCACACUGGAACUGAGACACGGUCCAGACUCCUACGGGAGGCAGCAGUAGGGAAUCUUCCGCAAUGGGCGAAAGCCUGACGGAGCAACGCCGCGUGAGUGAUGAAGGUCUUCGGAUCGUAAAACUCUGUUAUUAGGGAAGAACAAAUGUGUAAGUAACUAUGCACGUCUUGACGGUACCUAAUCAGAAAGCCACGGCUAACUACGU